Molecule: long non-coding RNA, 6187 nt
Organism: Limulus polyphemus (Atlantic horseshoe crab)
Lineage: Eukaryota; Metazoa; Arthropoda; Merostomata; Xiphosura; Limulidae
Exons: 3
Source: RefSeq, a predicted model, not a curated record
AUUUUGUAUUGUUUCUGAUAAUAAUGCAAAGAGUUUCUUUUUGCACGUUUUAUUUUAUGCUUGCUGGUUUAUAGUUAACUUUUCUUUUACAGCUCAUGGCUUUAGACAAGAACAACCAAAGUUCCUAUAAUAAGUGAUAGCAACGCUGGAACGCCUUGAUCCUGAAACAAUACAGCAGAAGGAGGAAGAAGCUCGAGAUGAAGAUGAUGACGAAGACUGGAGUCCAGUGCAGCCUCUUCCCAUCACACAACAGCGAGAAAACUACCUCACUUAAAAACAAGUUUGUCAUGGGUAGCUACAGAGAAGUGGUGUAUUUUAUAAAAGAAACUGAGGAUUUGUAAUAAUGUUGGAAACUUUACAUGAAAAUAGAAUAACCUAAUGUAAAAUUCCAUUUAAAAGUAGAAAGCAGUAUCAUAAAAACAAUAUGGAAUGUUUCUUCUAACUAGUAAAGACAGUUCAUUUUUAAAUAAAAUAGGUGGGUAAAAGGAACCUCCAUAUUUUCAGGCUUAUAUUACACAAGAAAAGGGGUGAUUGUUUAGGUUCCUGUUUUAAGUGCCUGAAACUUUCAGUAGUGUUAAAAUAAUUUGUUUAUAUUGAUGUGCAUCUUGGUGGUAGCUAAGAAAGGAAACAAUAUGAAUGUACAAGUGAUAUUAAGGCUUGUGAUUAGAGGUUGUUUCUGUUUGAUGUCUAUAGUUUCCAGCAUUUUUUGAAUAAAGUUAUAAUGAAAGUAUAUCAUCGUGCUUCAGCAUAAAAACAGCAGUUGAGACAAUAUUUAACACUUUACAAAACAUUGACAUUCUUUUGUGAAAUAUGAAUGCUUUGGUAUUUUUUGUAAUUCAGUUACAUCUCUUUACUGUAGUACAGUAGUUUUCAGACCUGGGGUCAAGGAAGGCUCAGUUGUAGUUCAGGUUUUGCAGAAAAAAUAUUAUAUGUAGUAAACAAAGCUGAAUGGGCUGGUUGAAAUAGAUUUUCAAACAAAUAGGAUUUAUUAUAUUCAGGAUGUCUUGAAAAUAUUUUGGGAACUGCUGCCCUGCUGCAAUUGAUACUUGUAAGUAUUAACUGAAGUUUGGCCAUAUUAAUUGGAAAGUGUAAUAUAUAUACCAUAAAUUGGGAUUUGGAGUAAGUCAUUUGAAUUUCAAAGAUAUGCUUAAGGUUCUCACGUUAAAUAGAUAAACAAAAACUAUUAAUGCUCUAUUUUUGUGUUUUAUGAUAUGUGCAACUGUUUUAUGAGUAAUACUCCAAUUAAUAGUAAUGUAUGAGUCAGUAGCUUUAAUUAUAGGUAUUUGUGGCAGUGUGCAUAGAUAUCAAAAUUACUGUUUGCAGAAUUAUCUCAUAAAUAACCUGAUGCUGAUUUAUGCUUUCUUUUGAUUAGAAUAUUUUAAUCAACAAGAUUUUUGUUUUUGAGGUGUUAUGUGUUUCAAGGUUGUUUUUUUUCUUUCACAAAACUGAUUUUAUUCAUAAAGUGGAAUUGAGGAAAUAUUCUAGCAUGCUAAUAUUAAGCUUCUGUUGUAGGUAUUUAUGCCAUUAGGUUGUGUUGUGGAAAAAGUAAUAGUAGGCUGUGGUCUGUUUUCAGCUUUUAUUAAAAAGUUGUACUGGAAUGGGAGCAAUUCAUGGCUCAGAAAUUAAAUUAGUUUAAAUGUUAGAUGAAUACUGAAGAAUCAUAUCACACUGCUCCAAAUGAAAUGCUAGGAAAGAUGUCGCCAUGUUUUGUAACACAUUCAGAAAACUAUUAAAAGUAAGUAUUGUAUGUUUUAACCAGAUAACUGUGAUAGAUCAAGAAUGAUAAGUAGCCUCAUUCACUACUUAAAGGUCAUAAAUUCUUGAGGGUACUGUUAUAGGAAAAUAUAUAUUCUUCUGAAGAGUUACUUGUUCUUAUAGGGUUUUUUUAGGAUGUUGGCCAAAAAAAAAAACUUUGGAUUUGAUAGGAUAGAGUGAAUUGGUUAUUAAUACUAGAUAUGGCUGAAAUACUAAACAUUUUUGGUCACUUUAUCAAAAAUAAAGUAACAGUGGGUGCUGUGAUAUAACAAAGUGUUUAAUGUGACUUAGGAUAUGUGAGUGGGGAAAUUGUGUUCAGAAGAGCUUGUAUUUGUCUAGAUUUUAACAACAUACUGUUUAGUGUUCUUUGUUCUCUGAUCCCUACCCAUAGCAAUACUGCUUGUGUAGACUAUAAACAGAACAGUUCAUUAGUGCACAUGUAAACAUGAACAACAGAACUGUACAUUACAUCGAUAUGAAGUGUUUGAUGGUUUUCUCACUUAUUAUUGUGUAAAGUGAAAGUUUUUUGUUAAAUGUAGUUCAAUAGCAUGAGUACUGGUAGUACAGAGACUGGUGUGAAAUGUGUACAUAGACUGAACAUGGCCAGGUUGUAGUUGUGAAAUGAGUAUGGAGACUGAACAUGUCCAGGUUGUAGUAAGUGUGAAAUGAGUACAGAAACUAAACAUGUCCAGGUUGUAGUAGGUGUGAAAUGAGUACAGUGACUAAAACAUGUCCAGAUUGUAGUAGGUGUGAAAUGAGUACGGAUACUGAACAUGUCCAGGUUAUAGUAGGUGUGAAAUGAGUACAGUGACUAAAACAUGUCCAGGUUGUAGUAGGUGUGAAAUGAGUACAGAGACUGAACAUGUCCAGAUUUUAGUAGGUGUGAAAUGAAAAACAAAAGUAAAUCAUCAAAGUAUAUGUAUUUUGGUGACAGAAAUGAAAGAGAAGUAAUAUGUUGACAUCAAUACAGUAAUUAGAUGUUCCAUGUAUUUGUGAUAAACUUGAAUUAUUGAGACACAAAUAUUUUAAAUAGUUUAGGUAGCACUUUUUCUACAUAUAAUAUCAGAGAUUAGAUAUUGUUUGACACUGUACAUAGUGUAGCACUCACUGUUGUAUGUACUUAAUAACCCAACAGUAAAUAGGUGUUGAAGAUGGCUAUUAAAAUUUACUUUUGUUUCACGUACGUUAUCAGGUUUUUUGUGUUUUUUUCAUGUUGUUUUACAUUAUCUAAUAUAAUUUUUUUAUCUUGAUUUUAUAACCUUUUUGUAAAGUACUUCAUGGUUAUUUAUAAAGACGACUUUUAUUCUGGUUGUUUUCUCCUCUUUUGAACAUACGUGGAGAGACGUUUUCUACUUUUUUUUUUCAGGAAUAUUUUUAUGCAGCAUAUUGAAAGUUCAUGCUAAUCAUUUUUCACCCAUAUUAACAACUCGUAAGUUCUGUACACGUGACUGUUCUCGACUCUCACGUUGUGUUGUUUUCGUUGGUGUUAUUCUGCAAUUACAUUGUAUCUAUUGCAAUACAUCUUAUGUGAAUGUGUUGAUGAAGAACUAGUGUUCACCAGUUACUUUAUUAUAUCUGUGGUGUUAGUACUUUAGAUAUUUUGAGAAUGAAUCUGUACAAAGAGUGUGACAGUUUGUUGAACUUCAUCAUGUAAUUCGUUUUUUACAUUCCAGUACUUAACAAUCAAAUCAUAAAUUAUCGUUUGUUCUACACAUGUAGAACUAGUGCGUUCUUUACAUCUGUACUUCUUUUCAGCCUUAUAUUUUACUUUGGUUUAGAUGUAUAUAUAUAUAUAGGCUUACAAUUAAAACAAUUUGUAGAAGAUAUAUAAUGUCUUUCCUGUGUUUUAUGUGAAAAGAAAGUUGUUAGAGCAACAUACAUGUCAAAGGAGAACAAAACUCGUUUCUCAGACUUGUUGAGAAGAAAGUUUUAGUAGAGAUACACAAACAAAAAAAUUUAAGUGAUGGUUAGAUGAUUAGUUAAAACUUAGCUCAUUUAUAACUGUUGUAAUUUUGAUUCAGAAAUCCUAGGCUUGGGAUUGUAUUUACAACGAUAUUGUGUUAGGUUUGCAAAUGUUCAUAUUAUUGUUCACCAUGUAUUUUUGUUUUACUCUUUCUCUCUCUAUAUCUAUAUAUAUAUAUAGGUGCUUAUUCAUAUGGUAAUGUUGAAUUGUUACAUUAUUAUAUAUUGUUUAAGAAAACACAAGUUCUGUAUUCCUUUAAAAUUUAUAGUGCAUACUGGAGGGAUUUACACAUUUUGAUAAUAAAGUUUAGAACAAAACAACCUUUAUAUUCCAGAUAGAUAUAAAAGGGUUAAUAUACACAACUGUAUGAUAUUAAAAUAUUUGUUAAAUUGUAAAAGUGCUUGUAAUAUUCUAUUUCUCGAGUCUGCCAGAACAUGUGUCUAACAAUGUAUAGGUUAUUAUUAUUGUUCUAAUAUUAUAGUAUAGUUAUAAUACUAAGUAUGCACCUAUACUAACAUAUGACAUAUAUAUAUAACUAUUUGAUAUGAUAUAUAAAAAUAUAGAGAACUACAGUAUGUUUUCUGAUUAGCUAAAAAAACACAUAGAUGGAAAAUAGAAGUAUACCAUAAUAUUUUAACAAUUGUGAAACAAUAAUAAUAACCUAUACAUUGUUAGACGCACGUUACGGCAGACUAGAGAAAUAGAACAUUACAAGCAGUUUUUUAAUUAAACAAAUAUUCUAAGAUCAAACAGUUGUGUAUAUCAACCCUAAUGAAGUGACAUAGGUGAAACAUUGGUUACAAUAAACAGAUUCUGCAGUUGUAAACAAAACUUCUGAGUGUAAUUUGGAAAGCAGAUACACUUAAUAUAAUUUGGGAAUUGUUUAAAUAUUAAACCUUCUAAACCUGCAAGGUGUUAACUCAAAUAUAUAUAACAACAUAUAUUUUCAGGGACUGUAAAAACAUCCCAUUAUUCCUCUGCUUUUUUACUUUAUGACCUACCUUGUCAUUCCUUUGAUGUUUAGAUUUGUGAAUCUAUGGUGUUAUUCCUUUCAUGUUUAGAUUUGUGAACUAUCCUGUUAUUCUUUUGAUGUUUGGCUUUCUGAAUUAUACUGUCAUUCCUUUGAUGUUUAGCUUUAUGAAAUAUCCCAUUACUUCUGUGAUGUUUACUUUGUGAAACAUCUAUUACUUUUAUCAUGAUUUAUGAACAAAAAAUAUCCUGUUGUUAUUCUGAUGUUUUACUUCUUACUUUUUUUCAUAUUAAUGAAAUUUAUACAUAAAACUUCAGUUGUUUUGAUAAAGCUGACCGUUAAUGUUAAUAAUGUUAUUGCUAAGAGAGUUUACUGUACAGUUUAGGUGUUUGUUCAUUAUAUUCAAAUACACUUUUUGGAAUCUGUUGUCCUUCACCAAUUUAAUAGAGUCAUAGAUAAGUUAAACUGACUUUUUUAUUAGAUGUUUUGUGUGUAUAGCCAUUUUAAAGAGCUUGUAAGUACUAAUUUAAUGAGGUAAAAUAAGUCAAACAAUGAUAAAUGCUCACAAAAUUUUUGAUUGAUUCAUGGAUAACUCUUUACUUUUUGUUGUUGUUUCAAAUGGGAUAAAUAGGAACCAAUGGCAAUCAUUCUAAGUUUUAUUACAUUUGCUUUAUAUAUAUAUAUAUGUGUUUUCUCAAAGUUCUCAAAUAACGUUUUUUAUUACACUUUUGAAAGUUUGUUUUAUGAGUAUUUUCUUUUAUAUUAUUUUAUUUUGAUGUAUACUUGUUAUGUAGCAAGGGUAAAAUACCCCAUUUUAACUGGUUUUGUCUAUAAAAUAUCAAUAUGGCAUAUCAUAAAAAUAUGAAACUUAAACCUAAAGUGUUAUACUAAUGACGAACCGUGGGAUGUUUAAUAAUGUUAAUGAAAACCAUUGCUUCUUAGUGUUAGCUUGCUUUAGUCAACAUUAAUAAUAACAUUAGCAAUGAAUGACAUUACAUGCAUUCAUAAGAAUGAUCCUCAGACAUAGCUUUUUUCUUUGGGUUCGUGAAAAUUAAUUUUCUUACCGAACAAAACAUUUGUUAAGAUUACAUACAUGAUUUCAUGUUUGAUUGAAAUUAAACCAUUGUCCUGCUUUUAGUUUUAGCAGCAAAUUCAGCUUUUUAUUACGAUAUUAGUAUGAUUCUUCUGGAUAUUUAACUUUCCCGCUGAUUAUCGUUGCCUUAUUUUAGAUUUAAAUGUAUAGCUUACUUGUCAUUCAACAUUACUAGUUUGAUUUUAUAUUUCUUGUAUAAUAUCAUUGUUGUUUAUUAAAAGGCUUAUGAGUUAAAUAAAACUCAGUGUAGUACUGAAUCUCAGUACAGUAUGUUUGAACUCCUGUGACUUAUUGGAUAUUUACAUUAAAUUCUAUAAGCAAGAAAUUUAUCACAAAAUUGUGUUAUUAAUUGUAUCAGAAAUCUGAGAGAAUGCAAUAUAAAUGUAUAAUAAAAAGUUGAACUGUA